Leopardus geoffroyi (Geoffroy's cat) is the source of this 4216-nucleotide long non-coding RNA. RefSeq lists it as uncharacterized. The transcript has 3 exons. The record is from RefSeq and is a predicted model, not a curated record. Lineage: Eukaryota; Metazoa; Chordata; Mammalia; Carnivora; Felidae.
CCUCGUGAAUUCAUCAUCUAGGGGAGGGGAGGCAUGCCUAAAGAAAUGCCAAAAACGGAGGGAAAAGAGAAAGAAAGUUAAGCUCUUCGGUUUUUGUUGCAUUCCCCCUGCUCUUUUCUUGGAGCAAGCUACCCAGGAUUUCAACACACACACGCACACGCACACACACACACACACGCUUGAGCUGGACUGUCCUUGUUUGCUUGCAAACAGUCCAGAGGCAAUGGCAAUGGAGCCCCAUUAAAUCAGACUCCAAGAGACUGGAAUCUGUGUCCCGCUGGCUCCUUCUCCGACUGCCCCCCCUACCCCAGAAGGGAACAGAUUUCUACAAUCCGGACCUGACAAACGCCAUUUCUUAGGCCAAAUAGUCCCACGUGGAUCUUAAGCCACAAAAAGGUAAAUCAGCUAGCCUUCCUACUUUAAAGACAAUUUUGGAAAGGAAGAUGAUUUCGGUUAUUAACUCACCCAAGCCGCAGACGCAGGGCAUGCGCUUUGCAGAAUGAUUAUUCAAAUACCAUCAAGCUGAAGUCAAGUUCUCCCGGAGCCCAUUGAAUCUUUGCCCCAACGGUCCACACAGGAGCCCUUCCCUGAAGAGCUCCCUUUGCUGUGCUGGAAUCUGUUUCUCAGUGAAUAUGUGAUGAUUGCAUGUUUUCGGCCUGAUUCUUUUCUCUUGCCUCACAUCCCCUGGAGAUCCCGCGGCCUCCUUAUAAAAGCCAUGUGUCUCUUAUCUUUUCCAGUGCAGUUGCUAAAACCAGAAAGCAGGCUGGAAAACAUUUCCCCAAACUGUACUGUUUUUCAUUAUUUCUUUCUGACACCUCCAGAUAACUUGUUAGCAUAUUGUCUUUCUCUAUUCAGCACGGCCCCACUGGGGGUUUGGGGACUGAAUGACAUCACCCAGGCAUUUAUAAUUAGAAACAAAAAUGCCUCUUUCCAAAUCUAUAACACCAGGAGACGAUUGGAGACAUUUUUUAAGUUACUGGUGAAAAUCCCACAUGAAAGAGGUCUUUUCUGAGCAGGCAGCAACUUUGCUGGCUUUUGAGACACUCCCGGGAAGGCACUGGAAGCAAGUGACGAACAACCUUUCCAACCAUGGAUCCCAACGCCACCAUGCAGUUUCGCAGGAAAGCGGUCACUGGGCUCUCGGCCUCUCCCCAGAGAAGCUGUGUUUCUUGAAGUUCCUGGGAGACUCCAAGAAGGCGUCUGAAUUUCCACCACUGUGGAGACAGAGCGCAGUGACUUCUGAUGGUUAAGUUUCCAUUUGUUCAGCAAGUUCUUACUGACUCAACUUGAAUACACUCCCACUGACAUUCUGGAUUUUUCUGUAAUCAUUUUCUCCUUAAAAGAAUUCAGGAUAACUCCAACAAUCACAAAUGACUGAUUGUGGAGUUUUCAUUUAUUCAACAAGUUCUUUUUGAGGACCUCUCUCAGAAAGUCCUGAGAACCUGCUGACAUCCAGGGUAUCUGCCUAUGAAGAAUCAGACCAGCGCUCCACCCUCUGAUACGCUAGCCACUAGCCACAUGCAAUGAUUUGCAUUUAAAUUUAGAUGAACAAAAAUGAAGGGAAGCUGCGAAUGCAUCUUCUCAGUUGCACUGGCCACCUCUCUGACGCUCAAUAGCCACACGUGGCUAGUGGCUACCAUACCCAACAGCACAAACCUAGAGCGUUUUCAUUGUUGUGGAAAGUUCUUUUUGGACAGUGCUGGACUGAUCACCUGACUUGCCUCGAACACUCCUGGUUUACACCUGUUGACGUGGUAUCAUCAUUAAUAGCACCCUCUUUCAAGCCCAAAGUGUCCUGGUUGGGAAAGACAACUGAACGAUGAAAAUGAACUUGGCCACCAUCCCUGCCAGGACUUUUGUUGAGACCCAGAACCCUUUCCCUUGAUGAAAAAAGUUGCCUGCGUCAGCCCCUGCCUUUUCCUCCUGAUUCUCUCCCACCUGUCCGGCCCGCCAGUAUUAGUAACCGGGGACACAAAUGCAGGGGAAGAGAUGGUCAGAAAUGUCUUCAAGUGAGGGAUGUACUUCUCGCUCCAGGAGGCCGGGAGCUCCGUUCCUGCCCACGGAUGCUGGCCCAGGAGGGAGCUUUGUCACCCGCACCGAGGGGUCCUGUGUGAGCGAUUUGGCCCCACCUCACCUGCGACCUCCUUUCUGCGAUUUUGUAAGUCAUCGCUUUGUGACUCAGUUUCUCUCCGACUGAAUGAACCACACAAGGUUUCUUUACCACCCGUUCGGAGACCGUUGGUAAAACACGCUCGACACACCUUUCAGAGCCUUGGGGAUGAGCCGAGGGCGGGGGGCGGGGGGAGGAAGACUGGGGGAGUACCCCUACCCCCACCACACAUCCCGGGAGGCCGAGGCCUCGCCAGCGUGUGCCCAAGUGCCACCUGGGCCUCCUUUCACUUCCCGGAGCAUCCUGAUGGAGGAUGAAUAAGGUAACCACAAAAAAUAUAACAGACCCGGGUAAGUUCAAAGUCAGGAGUAAGAGACAAAGAUAGAUGGAUAGUUAUUACAGAUGAUAGAUAGAUAGAUGAUAAAUGGAUGGGUGGAUGGAUGCGGUUAGAAAGACAGAAGAUCAAGAGAAUCUCCACUUCUUCAAACAGGAAUCACUGAGUAGCACCUGCCUCUGGGGGUGGGGAGCGGACUAGGUGGCCGGUGUGUUAGCCGUGCUGGCUGGACAAGUCAGCUUGGGGUUUCGCACCAGGCAGCUAGUUGAGACACUGGCAAAGAAGGGGUUCACCUCCCCAAGAAAGAAAAAAAGCGUCCGUCUCAAAAGAAAAUAAUCGCUGCAUGUAAUUUUGUGCGUCAUUUCAAAAAGUAUCUUUCCCUUCUAUGGUUUAAUACCGUUUUCUUUUGAACUUCACCGGGGCUGGGGAGAGGACCCACGGGCACGUCAGGGCCUCCCAGAUGGCUUUGCAAAUUGUAAGGGCCCAGGCUGCCAUCAGCUCUUAGAUUCUGCGUGACCUGAUGUCCUAGUGGCACAGCAGGCCGGGCCGGUGAGGGCGAGGUUGGAGGGCGUACACCAUGUGACGGGGACAAAGAUGAUGGAGGGCUGGCUUCUGCCUGAAUUGGGGGAUGGGAGAGGGGUAGGGGAGACAGAGCAUAGAAAACGGCCUUACCAAUAAGAGCCCAAACUUCCUGCCGGUGUCCGUGCACACAUGACCCAAACGAAGCAGAUGUAGCAGUGGCCAAAGGAGGCGGUUUUCAUUCUAGAAACGUCCACAUCUCCUGCUCCUGCAACCUUCCCAAAUGUCUUCUCGAUUUUUACACAGGCUUCUAAAAAUGGCAUCAACAACCGCCCAGUGCCCAGGGCCAUGGCAGGCUAGGUAGUUGAAUCUGGAGGGAGCACAGUGUGGCCAGCCCCAUCGACCCACCCUCUGCCCCACUGAGGAGGAAGCUGGAGCCGUCACAAUGACCGUGACAUCCGCAGUUCUGGCUUGAACUCUCCCUCUAUAAGGCUUUCCUGCCUCUGAUAACUCAACCUCAGGUCAAGUUGUCAGGUCUUUAUGGCUGAGAUUUUCUUACCUGCUUCUUAAACCAGUUUAAACUGGCUUAAGCAACAUGGGAACUCAUUGGCUCAUAUGACUUAAAGAACUAGGACUGAUAGCUUCAGGCGUGGCUAGAUCCAAGCCUGGGGUCCGAGCCAUCUAGCCACUGAGGUUGUUUCUUUUCCUGCUUUCUUCUACGUUGGCUUUGCUCUUGGAUAGGUUCUCUUUCUGGAGCAGUCCCUGGUUCACCUGGUUUACCAGCCCCACCGGAACUAAAACACCUCUUUGCCGGUAAUUCCAGCAAAAGGCUUGGCUCAAGCCUCAUCAGACUAACUGACACCAUUCGUGAAUCAAACCACUCGUCAAGCCUAAGAAUCAGCUGGCCAUUCCUGAAGUCAAGAAUCAGGGUCAUCAACCACACAAUCGGUAAGCAGGGAUGUAGUUAGCCAGAGAAAAGCCAGGGAGCUUUUUCACCUUCACCAGUAGAAAGAAAACGGAUGCCGUGGAAACCAAAUCCGUGAAUGCCCACGAUGAGCCGUAAAUGCUCGAUACACUUUAGCCAUUAACCAAAAGUUAAAGACGGGAUCACAGAAGCUCUGGAAUCGCACCCAUAAGCUGGUGGUUCUUCACCUUGACAGGACGCUAAAGAUUCCCACAGAGCUUUUAAAAUUCUUCCAUCCCGGGGCACCUGGGUGGCUCCGUCGGUUAAGCGGCCGUCUUCGACUCAGGUC